RNAcentral lists this ribosomal RNA (497 nucleotides) under uncultured bacterium. RNAcentral describes it as "partial 16S ribosomal RNA". It matches the Rfam family "Bacterial small subunit ribosomal RNA", at positions 28 to 507 of the family's 1533-position model. The record is from RNAcentral.
GAUGAACGCUGGCGGCGUGCCUAAUACAUGCAAGUCGAGCGAACAGAUGAGGAGCUUGCUCCUCUGACGUUAGCGGCGGACGGGUGAGUAACACGUGGAUAACCUACCUAUAAGACUGGGAUAACUUCGGGAAACCGGAGCUAAUACCGGAUAAUAUAUUGAACCGCAUGGUUCAAUAGUGAAAGACGGUUUUGCUGUCACUUAUAGAUGGAUCCGCGCCGCAUUAGCUAGUUGGUAAGGUAACGGCUUACCAAGGCAACGAUGCGUAGCCGACCUGAGAGGGUGGUCGGCCACACUGGAAGUGAGACACGGUCCAGACUCCUACGGGAGGCAGCAGUAGGGAAUCUUCCGCAAUGGGCGAAAGCCUGACGGAGCAACGCCGCGUGAGUGAUGAAGGUCUUCGGAUCGUAAAACUAUGUUAUUAGGGAAGAACAAAUGUGUAAGUAACUAGGCACGUCUUGACGGUACCUAAUCAGAAAGCCCCGGCUAACUACGUG